AGUAACGCGUAAAGAACUUGCCUCACAGAUAGGGACAACAUUUGGAAACGAAUGCUAAUACCUAAUAUUAUGAUUUUAGGGCAUCCUAGGAUUAUGAAAGCUAUAUACGCUGUGAGAGAGCUUUGCGUCCCAUUAGCUAGUUGGAGAGGUAACGGCUCACCAAGGCGAUGAUGGGUAGCCGGCCUGAGAGGGUGAUCGGCCACAAGGGGACUGAGACACGGCCCUU
Molecule: ribosomal RNA, 226 nt
Filed under: uncultured bacterium
Lineage: Bacteria
Description: partial 16S ribosomal RNA
Rfam family: Bacterial small subunit ribosomal RNA
Source: RNAcentral